RNAcentral lists this long non-coding RNA (310 nucleotides) under Brassica napus (rape). RNAcentral's name for it is "long non-coding RNA (BNAP_LNC022619)". Lineage: Eukaryota; Viridiplantae; Streptophyta; Magnoliopsida; Brassicales; Brassicaceae. The record is from RNAcentral.
GCAGCGUAUGCGAGCGGCGGAGGAGGUUGAGGGUUCUCGGAGAACGGCAUUGCGAGAGGGAAAACAGAGGUGGUUUGUGGAUUUGAGAGAGAGGGAGUAUGGGUUUGGAUUGAUCUUGGUGAGAAGGAGACGACGAUUGAGAGCGCAAGUAUUGAAGAUUCUUGCUGUUGCUUCCAUGGCGAAACUCCGUCGACAAUCUCACGGUUUCAUCUGAAAGUCGCUAAAAAGAACAUAUUUAGGAAAUCAAACACUCUGUUUUGUGCAGAGGUUUUGGUUUUGUCUGGUCUAGUCUAAGAGGAUCAGAUCCGCU